Non-coding RNA from Aedes aegypti (yellow fever mosquito), 72 nucleotides. Lineage: Eukaryota; Metazoa; Arthropoda; Insecta; Diptera; Culicidae. The record is from Rfam.
GGCUCGGUAGCUUAGUUGGUAAAGCGCUCGUCUAGCAUACAAGAGUCCUGGGUUCAAAGCCCAGCCGAGCAN